This is a long non-coding RNA of Nyctereutes procyonoides (raccoon dog), 10459 nucleotides long. RefSeq lists it as uncharacterized. The record is from RefSeq and is a predicted model, not a curated record. The transcript has 3 exons. Lineage: Eukaryota; Metazoa; Chordata; Mammalia; Carnivora; Canidae.
GCGCCUCGGGCCGCGGGACCUGCCGCCGCCGCCGCCGCCGCCUCUGCGGCCGCGUCAGAACCGAGGAGAGGAAGGGGAGGAGCCGAGGGGAGCCUAAGCUGCCGCCUGAUCUUACCCCUGACCCGGCGGCGGGCGGCGGCGGCGGGCGGCGGGCGGCGGGGAGAGCUCGCGCCGCAGCGGUCUCCUCCGGGGCAAGGCGGCGGCUGCUCCUUUGGGAGCGAGGAGGAAGGCCCGGCCCGCGCGGCCAUGCUCGGGCGCGCACCCCCCGAAGGAGGAGAUGUUAGUAGUGUUUUAGAUUUCAGGGAUCAUUCUUGCUUGCGUGAAGCUUUGGAGAGCUGAUUUUGGUCGUUAGGUAAGUGUCCACAACCGUCACCGAGAAAACGUUGGCCUGCGUUUCAGGUCUAAUUCAAAGGCUAUUUCCUUUCUCAAAUAAAUAUUGUUACUCUUAGGCAGCUUUUCCUACAGAUGUUAGUUACCCUGGAAAGUGAAUUCGAGUAAAACUCAUGGAGUUGUAAAGUGUAGUUAGUUAGUUCUCUAGGAAAGGACAUUUUGAGAUGAAAGUGUCAGAAUCCUCGGAAUCUGCCUUGAACCUGUCCGUGGAGACUGAGAUGAGAAAGCAGCAGCAAGGACGGAAGGACGCAGAUUCCAGAGUCCCGCCGCCGGACCCUGGCACACCCCACCUGCUCCCGAAGCAGCAUGAAUGGAUGUUACAAGUCUUUCCACUUUGGGAAAUAAGGAGCGAGUUUUUAUAGGCAGAUUUUGGAAGCUCGGGGUUUCUACCAGCAUCAUAUGCAAACAGUAGACCAAAGAAGGUUCUAAUUGGGCGAACCCAAGGGCUCAUUUUUAUUAAAAUGCUGCAGCAAGAGUGAUAGGGGUGGGGAAGUGGGUGUUGGCAGAAGCAAGAAGAGACUCACAAAGCAGAACUUGCCCAGGUGUCCUUGAUGCGAAGUCCCAAGAGCCAGGCUAACUUUCCUGUUAAAGCUACUGUGGAUUUUACUGCGUUGUCGUGACCACUGCCUUACCAUGUCCUUCCAAGUUAAGACUCAGAGAAUCUGAUCCCCAAGUGAUAGCCCCACAUGGUUUUGCCUCUCCCUAAUUUCCUGGCAGACAUUGAAUGAGUUGAAUGCACAGAUUUAAGAGAUUUUUGUGAAGCUGAGCACCUCAGAUUUUAAGCCCUUUGGACACUGGAUAAAAAGUGAGAACAUGAGAGCUCUGCAACCCAGCAGGGGACACCUCCAGAAAAGUGCGUACUGUACCACAUGGGGUUUUUCAGCAGCCUGAUGUGUUUUCAUUGUAAGUGGCUCCACCUUAGAACCUUAGUACUGAGAGACAGAAAAGCACUCAGGAGAGCCCUCAUCCAGCUACUUAUGAAGAAAUAGAAGCACUAAACUUACUGGGCAAAAUCCACACUCCUCACCACCCAGUACGGUAGCUGGAGGAAACAGAUGGAACUGGCAAGUGGAGAGGAGGAAGUUCAUGCAUUUCCAACUUGGUCUGCGUCUCUUUAGUUCUUUUACUUAUUAAUCCAGAGGAGGAAACAGCUAGUUUGUUCCAGAAUUCCAAAAAAUCUGAAAUUUCAGGUAACAGUUCUUUUCCUGCUUCAUCAGUUUGUGAUAAAGAUCUGCGUACAAUGUUAAAAUAUAACAAAGGAAUGUUUGUAUAGGGUUCUUUUCUCCUGCACUUGAAAGUGAGCUCUUAUGAGAGACUAUUUUAAUCAGCGUUUUAUUAUCCCACAUCAGUGGUUUUUACUGUCAGAGAUUUUGUAAAGCUAGAUUAUCUGGUAAAAUUUGUACAAAUGCCUUCCAGAGUCUUCAAUUACUUUUAGCAUUUUUAUUGUGAAAUACACAUUAAAACGCAGAAAGCAGUUAUUUGUUAUAAUAAGUAGUUAUAAAAGAAACCUCCCUGUGACCAGCCAGGUCAAGAAAUGGAACAUUGCCAGCAUCCUAGAAGCCCCCCCUGGUGACCUUCCUGAGCACAACUCUCCCUCUCUUUUAGAGGUAGCCAUUAUUCGAACUUUCCUGAUAAUCAUCUCCUUGUUUUUCUCUAUUGUCUUUUUCACAAGCAAGCAUCCCUAAACAAUAUGUUUAGUUUUGCCCUUUCUGUUGAACUUUAUUAAAUGGGACAACAUAGGAUGUAAUUUGUUUGCUUGCUGCUUUCACACAUCAUUUUUAAUCCAUAUGUUGUUCAGGUUGUUCAUAUAAUUGUAAUUUGUUCAGUUAAUUGCAGUGUGCCAUUGUAGCAAUAUGCCAUAAUUUAUUUAGCCAUUCUAUUGUUGAUGGACAUCUGGAUUGUUUCCAGUGUGGAACUGUUAAAAAGGCUGCUGUGAACAUUCUUCGUAUGUGUACUCCAUCACAUUUAUAUCAGUUUCCGUAUGGCAUAUACCUGGGAGCUGCUUCUAGAGUCUUAUACCAGCCAUGUAGGUGAGUCCCAUUCCUCCACCCCCUCAACCCACUGAGUGUUGUCAAUCUUUUUGCCAGUCUGGUGGAUGUGUAUUAGUAUGUCAUUAUGGUUUUUUAAAUUUCUCUUAUUGGUGAUAUUAUCGAGUUCCUUUUCAUAUAUUGACUAGCCAUUCAGAUUUCCUCUUUUGAAGUGCUAUUACUUUUUUCAUUCCCAGUAUUUGAGAUGCCUGAUUUUCCAAUAUCCUUCUAUAGUCCACAUUUGAACAAUGUAUUUCAGGCACACAGUGAGAGAGAGAGAGAGACGCAGAGACAUAGGCAGAGGGAGAAGCAGGCUCCAUGCACUGGGAGCCCGACGUGGGAUUCGAUCCCGGGUCUCCAGGAUCACGCCCUGUGCCAAAGGCAGGCGCCAAACCGCUGCGCCACCCAGGGAUCUCUCUUCAGUCGUAUUUAAAUGUAAAUAUUUUUAGAGAAACUAAAAACUGGACUCAUAAUAUUUGGAAAUAAUUGUUUUUACAAUAUAUCCUUUCUCUCUUUAACAAUGUUACAUUUUAAGUCUAAGAGUACUAUGUAUUUUUAAUAGAGGAUGGUCUCCCUUUAGUAAGUAGCUUUUCACUCACCUUCAACAUCACAGUGAAGCUUUAAUAAGUGGGGAACUCAUUCUCUGAGAUAUUGAGCAUUCCCCUAUUUUCUGAAAAUUACCUAUACAUUUUCUUAGACGCUGCUUUCUUCUCCUUUCACCCCACUGUGCUUUUCCUAGAAAGCUCUGAUUUUUCUCCCACCUAAAACCCUUAUUAGCUCUUUUCCCACUCCCUGAAUUUGUCUUAACUUCCUAGAAACCCUUUCCAAUAGUAUCUAACUACACAGUUCUUAAAUCUCUUAUUCUCUACAUGCCUUUCAGGCUACCACAACCUCUUCUUAGCUCUAUGGGCAUCUGCACCUGAUUUCCUUUACCAAAACCCUUUCACUAGAAGUCUUUUGCAUCAGAAUCCACCACCGUGAAGGAAAGAAAAGGCAUGACAUCUUCAAGAACCUAGAAUGUGCAGUUAUUUGAUCUUCACGAAACCCUGCAAACUAGGUGCAAGAUACCCACAUUCCUUUUUCCUCUCCUUGAGCACAUGAGAAGACUGUUUCCCAGUUUCCCUUGCUAUUAGCCUGGGCCAAUGUAAUUGGUCUCGCCAGGAGCUAUGGGCAAAAGUAAUGGGCCUGGUUCCCAAGCUUGACUCUAAAGUCUCUUGUGAAACAAUCAGCUUGUGACUUCCAUUGUCGACAAUGCUUAAAAGCAAAGGAUGUUAAGAUACUGGAUUACCUGUAUCACAAGAGUUCAGAUUCUUUAGUUGCUGCAGCAACAGAUAGUGAACAGAGCAGAAUGUAAAGUUGUAUUAAGUUUCUGAGUUUAUUACCAAAUUUGUAUUUAGACACAUAAAGAAUAGCAAGUCAUUGUGUUUGUAGUCUAGUGAAGUUAGGUUACAUAAGCUUUCGCGACCUGACAUCAAAAUGCGAUCCCCCUUGUUAAACUGUUAUUAUAGAAACGUGAGUUCUGAGUUCCAGUCCAAACUAUAAAAGAACUUAAAGAGAAAAGGAAACAAAAACUCUAGGGAUUGAUUUUUCUGUGAAAGAAGUACCACACAUGAGAACACCAGUACCCUUGAGGUAUUUGUUUAAGGCUGCCUUUUCAACAAAUAGGCUGCCAUUUCAAAGAUGAAGAAAUCCUCAGGUUCUCCAGCCUUUUAUUUCAAGGUAGACAUUUCUUUUAAUAACCAAAUAAAAUGUUAUGACCUACCAUCUUACAUGCUAUGAAAAGUUCAGAGCCAGUUCUCUCCACUAUAGCUGGCUUACUCAAAUUAUUUCAAUGCUGUGCCCUGCACUGAACACUACUAUUUAAUUCAUCAACAUGAGAGUGUUCUAUGUAGUGGACUUUUAGGUUGAGGAGUAACAACUGGUUGUUAUAGUAUAAGAGCCAACUUAGAGUACAGGAUACAACUUCCAAAAAUCAAUGUCAAAUAAAACUUUCCCUAAAACUAUUGGCCAAUUACAACCUGAAGGAUUUCUUUUACUGAUUGUAUCUUUCCUUAAGUCUCUUCCCAUCACCCUAUAUUUGCUACUCUAACCCCCACAUUCUCCUCACAUCCCUCCAAAGCAAUCUCUUUAAGUACAAGAUUCCUUUUAUUUUAUUGAGCAAGCCAUUCAACUCUCUUGGGUUUCAACCUCUCAUGGAAAGCCCAUUAGGGUGCCCCAUUAGGGCUCAUCUGCCUUCAGCUCAGGUCAUGAUCAGGGGGUUCUGGGGUUGAGCCCAGCUUUGGGCUCCCUGUUCAGCAGAGAGCCUCUCCUUCUGCCCCUCCCCCCUGCUUGUGCUCUCAUGUACAUGAUAGCUCUCUAUCUCAACUAAAUAAAAAUCUUUUUUUAAAAGCCCAUCAAGCUCGUUAUCAAUAACAUUCACAGAUGUAAAUAACAGAAAACCCAACUGGCAUAAAGAUUUAGAGGAUUCAUUGUUUCUUUCAGUGAAAAAUCCUCUAGUCUGGAAUUCAAGAUUGGCAUAGUAGCUCAGAAUAUGAUCAGUUACCCGGACUACUUUUCUUUCUUUGCCAUCCUAUUGCCAUCCACACCACACUGACUUUUAUCAUCAUGAGUCACACAUCAGCAGCCAUUCCUCAGGAGUCACAUUUAAAUUGCAGACUAGAAGGAAGAGGAAAGGGUGGUGCCUGUAGGAGGAAAUGCUAAUUCUUUCCUUGAUGUUUCCAGCACACUCCUGUUUAGGUCUGGCUGAUAGAAUGUAUCUUGGGUCCAUGCCUAGAUCUAAAGAAGGCUGGGAAGUAUUUUUACUGGGCAUUAUGGCCCAAAGUGAGGUUGGAAUUCCAUUAAUAAGAAAAGUGGGAAAAACAGAUAAGGAGUAGGAAAUUAGCAGUGUUUGAUGACACACUUGUCUUAGUCCUGACUGCUAUAAGAAGGAACCAGUGGUUGGGUGGCUCAUAAACAACAGAAAUGUACAGUUCUAGAAGCUGGAAGUUUGUGAUCAGGAUGCAAUCAUGGUCAGGUGAGAGACCCUCUGACAGGUCAACUUUUUUGCAGCCUCACAUGAUGGAGAACAGAGAACAUCAACCACUCUCCUAACUUUUAUAAGGGUAUGAAUCCCAUUCAUGAGGCCUACAUCCUCAUGACCUGUCUACUCCUAAUUACUCCCAAAGGCCUCGCCUGAUAGUACUAUCCCACGGUUGUGUAGGAAUGGGGCAGGGGGCAGUAAUAAGAUACCAACCUGUAAACAUUCAGUCCAUAACACCCUUAGAGAUGUUUUUCUUAGAAGAACCAUGUACCCCAGAGAUGAAAUACCACUUUCUAAUCCCAGAAAUAGCUACCAUUUUUAUUUUAAAUGGUAUUUAAAUGUUUUUAUAUUAUGUAUUUAUUUUUAACAUUUUAUUUAUUUAUUCAUGAGAGACACAGAGAGAGAAGAGGCAGAGACACAGGCAGAGGGAGAAGCAGGCUCCAUGCAGGGAGCCCGAUGUGGAACUCUGUCCCAGUACUCCAGGAUCACGCCCUGAGCCAAAGGCAGACCCUCGACCACUGAGCCACCCAGGCGUCCCUAAAUGUCUUUAUUUUAAAUAGCAAUUUUCCUUCCUGUUGAAUCUUUUUUGCUUCUUGUAGCUUAAAAAUUCUAGCAAUUCGAUUUCAAGAGCACUUUUAAAUAAAUGAAUUUGUGAUCUCCAGAUGGUUGGCUUUUAGUCUCUUACAUCAUCAUUGCAAAAGACAUAUCAGUGGCAUUUUUAAGCUCUUUUUUUAGACCUAUGUCUAAGAAUGAUUAAAUUUUCAUUUCCUUAUUAAAACCAAAAAUAACCAUUCUACUUAUUUUCAAACCAUCAAACUCACAGAAAAAUGGAAAGUACAGUUUAAAGAAUUUUUUGUCUUGAGCCAUUUGGGAGUUAAUUGCCAACCUGAUGUCCUAUCACCCCCCAAAUACUUAAGCCAAUAUAUACAGCACAUUCUCCUACAUAAUCACAGUGCAACCAUCAAAAUCAGCAUAUCAAGUUGAUGAUUUCUACUAUCCAAUCCUGAGACUUCCAUUAAAUUUCAUCCCUUGUCCCAGUAAUAACCUUGAUAGCAAAAUAAAGGGUACACUUUGGAAUGUGUGUUGAGUUCAAUUGUCACAUCUCUUUAAUCUCCUUAAAUCUGAAAUGUUUCCUUAGUCUUUCUUUGGCUUCCACAACUUUGAUACUUCUGAAGAUUAUGGUUACUUCUUGUGGAGACUAUCCCUCAACUUCAGUGUGUUUGUAUUUAGCAGGAAUAUUACCAAAGUAGUGCUAUUCUUAUUAUAUCUCAUUAGGUGCCACUCAAUUUGUCCUACUACUGAUGAUGUCCAGUUUAAUCACCCAAUUAAAAUGAUGUCUGCCAGGCUUCUCCACAACUAGGUAACUCCAAAAUAAAUUACUGUUUUUUCCACUUGGAAUUAAUAAGUUUUAAUUUUGUGAGGAGAUACUUUAGAUCUAAAUAAAUAUCUCGUUCCUUAUCAAAUUUUCACUUUUUCAUUUAUAUCAGCAUGGGCUCAUGGUUUUCUCUCUUGUUUAAUGAGUUAAAAUCUGUUACUAUUGUUAUUUAUUUUGAUGCUUAAAUUGUCCUAUAUUUGACUAGUGGGAACUCCUCCAGAUUGGCUUCUGUGUCAUUUUGUCCCAUCAUUCUUUUAGUACUUUUUUUUUCUAGCCCAACAAAAUGUUCCAGACCCAGUGUUGAAAGUGUCCCUUUCUCCAAGGAAUAGGAGUUACCAAAUAAAAUAAAAGUUAAUCAGUUAAACUGGAUUUCAGUUUAUUUUGGCAUAGGUAUGUCCCAUUCAAUAAUUUCUUAUUUACUAAAUAUCUGCUAUAUUUUUAUAAGAUAAAUGUGGCACCAUACCUUGGUUCCUUUAAAAGGUGAAUGGUAUUUAGAAGCCACAAUCUGGGUGGGUCUGCUGGUUGCAAUUUGAGUUCACAGCUCUCAGACUCUCUUGAGCUAAGGAACACACACACACACAUACAUACAUUUACAUCUGUAUUUAUAUAUCAAUAUUGAUGCCAUAUAAAUAUGUAUACAGUGUAAUCCAUAAAUUCACAUUGAUGGUGUCUAAUUCCAAUCCCACACCUGGGAGUUAUUCUGGUUUUUUCCUUUUCCAUAUUUAUGACUUCAGUCUCCUAGAGAAAAAACCCUCGCUUGUGUUAUCCUUCAUACACAUACUUAUUUGAUCAGUCCCUUGGUAUAUAACCAAACUCACACCAUUACCACUGCUCCCUUGCCCUCCUCAGCUGAUUGUGCUAGGACCCCUGUGCCAGGCUAUCCCCACAAACACCCUCUUCAACAAACCUGGGCUCUGACCUCACCACUGGCCACCCCACAGUAUGGAUGCCCUCUUCACCUUGCUCGGGAUCUGCCCCACCCCCCACCCCCUACUGCUGCUUCUGACAACAUGCCACCCGUCUGCAUGGAUCUUCUCCUCCCCCUGUUCAGUCUUUGCUACCACAUGCCUCGGCCUGCUCAGAAUCCAGCUCCACACUGGUCCUCCCUGUGUGCUCACCCUCCUCACCUGGCUCUAAGCAUAGAAGUCUUUAAAAUAAGUGAUCUUUGGGAUGCCUGGGUGGCUCAGCGGUUGGGUGUCUGCCUUCACCUCAGGGCGAAAGAGUACCAGGAUCAAGUCCCACAUGGGCUCUUUGCAUGGAACUUGCUUCUCCCUCUGCCUUUGUCUCUGCCUCCCUCUCUAUCUCUCAUGAAUAAAUAAAUAAAGUGUUUAAUAAAAACAGUAAGUGAUCCAUAAGUACAAAAUAUAUUAUUCAUCACUCAUAACACAAGCUGAAGUUUUCAGUAUAAAAGAGACUUUGACAGAGGCACCUGGAAAAAUAGUUACUCAUAGAUAUUUGUAUUCAUUUGCAUUGAGCUGAUACUAACCAUUAUUUAUUGACUAAUAGUAAAAUUCUGAGAAAAGUCAAAAUUAGAAAUGUAGACUACUGUUUAAAAACAUAUGUCUGUUCUCUAUUUCCUCUCAAAACCCCCUAAAAUAAUAGUAAAGGAAUAAAAAGCUAUAAAAAGUACAUAGAGAACAGGAAAUAAGGUAAUAGGAGAAAAGAGAUGUCAGGAAAUUCUAGAAGGUAGUAGGUGCACAGGAGCAACCAAAUCACUUCAAGAAAAGGAAGCUAGAAUCUAAGUCUCUGCAGCAGAGUGUCCUGCAAUAACCAGCCAAUUCCUGAUAUGGAACCCUAGAAAAUGGCAAAAUUAAAAUCACUAGUUGCCUCUGAAGGCACAAAUGCAGGGUAAAGCAGAAAACAGGCUUUUUCUUAAAUAUAAUGGAAAGCCAACGACCACCAAACAUGAGGGAAGUCUAAUACGAAAGUAAAGAAAAUUAACUUGGAGGAAACUGAGAUAAUACAGAAGAAGAAAAGUAUCAAAGACGGUAAUAAAACUUUUUAAAGACUAAUGGGAAUGGGAUAACUGUAUGUCUGUGUAUGUUGAGAUAAUGAAAGACUCAUCUUUAAUAAUAGGAACUUAAUAGGUGACAUCUUGGCUUGAAAAAUCAUGACCUACCUGUAUCUGCAUAUUAUUUAGACGCAAAUACUAAAAGGAAAAAGUAGCACCGGAAGAGUUGAAAGUAGUUGCCUCUAAAGAAUUCAUAUUAGUUGAGAGGAAAUGCAGGUGCCCUUGAUUUUUUUUUAAUAUUAUUUAUUUGGGAGAGAGAGCACAAGCAGGGAAGAGUUUCAGAGAGAGAGAGGGAGAAGUAGACUCCCUGCUGAGCAGGGAGCCUGAUGCAGGGCUGGAUCCCAAGACCCUGAGAUCCUGACCUGAGCCAAAGGCAGACACUUAACCAACUGAGCCACCCAGGUGCCCCAUUGUUUAUUUCUGUGAUUGUUCUUUAUGAGCCCAUAAAUUACUUUGAUAAAAAUUAAAAUUUAAUUUAAAAAUUAAGUUUGUACAGAUUAAAAUAUCUUCAUGUAGCACAAUUUGAAAAGAAGCAGGCUAUAGUGGAAAGGACCAGAAUUUGAUAUCUAGGUUCAUGGAUAAUUCUGCCCUUUUAUUGCUUAUGCAAAUCUGUGAAAGUCUUAAGCCUUGAGACUCAGUUAUACAUUUAUGACUUGGGGAAAAUAAUACUUGCCCUACUGUCUUAGUUUAUAAAGCUUGCCAUAACAAAAUACUGCAGACCAAGUAGCUUAAACAAGUUUUCCCCCACCCAUUCCCCCAUCCCCCCCACCCGCACCCACCCCAACACCCCUACCCGCAGUUCUGGAGGCUGAAAGUCCAUGAUCAAGGGCUUGGCUGGGUUGGUUUCUCUUGAAGCCUCUCUCCUUGUCUUGUAAAUAACCCCUCCUUGCUGUAACCUCAAAUGGCCUUUCCUCUCAGGGAGUUCAUCUUUAAGGGCUCUUCCUCUUCUAAUGAGGAUACUAGUCAGAUGGGAUUGGGGCCCUACCCCAAUGGUCUCAUUUUAAUUUAAUCACCUCUUUAAAGACUUUAUCCCCAAAAAUAGUUACAUCUGUGGUUCUGGAGAUUGGGAUUUCCACAUGUAAACUUUGAGGAAACACAAUUCAGUCCAUUAUACCUACUUUCUACAUUCACUCAUUUGCUGAGAUCUUUUGGGGUUCCUUCAUGUUCCAUCCUGUGCUAGGCAAUGAGGACUGAAUGAGAGGAUCAAAUGAGAUAGAUGGCCUUUUGAAACUAAAGUAUUUUUUUAAAUGAAGGCAGACCCCAUCCAGCAUAAUUCUUUGCUUACAGGAAAUAAUUAAAGUGGAAUUAAGUGAAGAAGAUGGAAAUUUUUUAAAAAGGAAGAAAAGGCAAGUGUGGACAAAUUUAUUGAAUAGCCCUGAUAUGUGCCAGGCACUGAUUAUAAGAUUUAUAUAAAUUGUCUCAUUUAAUCCUUACUUCUACCCUGCUGGAAAGACAUUAUCAAAGUCAUUUUCCAGACAUCUGGGUGGCUCAGCAGUUGAGCGUCUGCCUUUGGCGCAGGUUAUGAUCCCAGGUCCAGGGAUCGAGUCCCACAUCAGGCUCCCUAUGAGGUGCCUGCUUCUCCCUCUACCUAUGUCUCUGCCUGUGUGUGUGUGUGUGUGUGUGUGUGUGUGUGUGUG